CGACCCAGACGUAGAUUUGAACACGCAGCCUGCUGAUCUGGGAGUCAGACGCGCUACCGUUGCGCCAUCGAUCC
Araneus ventricosus is the source of this 74-nucleotide non-coding RNA. The record is from the annotation of a GenBank genome assembly. NCBI's taxonomy places the organism in Eukaryota, Metazoa, Arthropoda, Arachnida, Araneae, Araneidae.